GUGGACCGUGUUGUCACGGUUGAGGAGGAUAAUGAGCCCACCCUGGACCAGGAGGACCCAGUCCUUGUUCAGUAUGUGGUUGAGGAGGUUGGGCACCGGCCCUGUCUGGCUUUAAUCCCUUGGUCUGGACCUCUGUGGGUUCCCAGCUCUGUAAGUCCAUCCAUUCUGAUACUCUUUGGUCUUCUCUCUGGUCUUAAAACUGGUUUAUGUACUUUAAACAUAAACAUGACGUUUUCUGAAGAACAAUAUGGAAAUA
Long non-coding RNA from Coregonus clupeaformis (lake whitefish), 256 nucleotides. RefSeq lists it as uncharacterized. The transcript is spliced from 3 exons. NCBI's taxonomy places the organism in Eukaryota, Metazoa, Chordata, Actinopteri, Salmoniformes, Salmonidae. The record is from RefSeq and is a predicted model, not a curated record.